Molecule: non-coding RNA, 216 nt
Filed under: Carnobacterium maltaromaticum
Lineage: Bacteria; Bacillati; Bacillota; Bacilli; Lactobacillales; Carnobacteriaceae
Description: T-box
Rfam family: T-box leader
About the family: Uncharged tRNA acts as the effector for transcription antitermination of genes in the T-box leader family. T-boxes are found upstream of many aminoacyl-tRNA synthetase genes and some amino acid biosynthetic genes usually in Gram-positive bacteria. The anticodon of a specific tRNA base pairs to a specifier sequence within the T-box motif, and the NCCA acceptor tail of the tRNA base pairs to a conserved bulge in the T-box antiterminator hairpin.
Source: RNAcentral
CUUAAAGCAAUGAUUAGAACAGAAAAACGAUUAAAUACUAUCAAGCGAGCCGGCACCUAGUGAAAGACCGGUUAGUCCCUUUAAUUUGUUAGAUCCUCUAUGAGUGUUGAAUUGAAAGCAGUAAAUUCAACCGUUUGAUUGGCGUUAACAAUUACUUGAGAAAAAGAAGCAAUUCUUUUGAAACUUGGGUGGUACCACGAAGACUUCGUCCCUAUA